UACGUAGGGACCGAGCGUUGUCCGGAAUCAUUGGGCGUAAAGAGCGUGUAGGCUGCCACUUAAGUCCUGCGUGAAAUCUUGCGGCUCAACCGCAAGCGGUCGUGGGAAACUGGGUGGCUAGAGUGCGGGAGAGGAGAGUGGAAUUCCUGGUGUAGCGGUGGAAUGCGCAGAUAUCAGGAGGAACACCGGUGGCGAAGGCGGGUCUCUGGGCCGUAACUGACGCUGAGGAGCGAAAGCGUGGGGAGCGAACAGG
This 253-nucleotide ribosomal RNA is filed under the name uncultured bacterium. RNAcentral describes it as "partial 16S ribosomal RNA". It matches the Rfam family "Bacterial small subunit ribosomal RNA", at positions 524 to 776 of the family's 1533-position model. The record is from RNAcentral.